UCGGGUGAGUCAAAAACACUGAUGGAGCUGAUGUUCCUCUAACGGAAUUUCGGUGAAGUCCGGAUGGUCGACUUUCCAGGAUGCUCGGAGAACUGAUAAUCUCUCGAGGUCGCUGGGGUUGGGUCGGAUUUCGUGAUCUGCGCGAGUCAAAAACACUGAUGAAACCGAUGUUCGUUUACAGAAGGAAUUUCAGUGAAGUCCGGAUGGUCAAUCUUCCUACACGUCCGGGGAGACGGGCAACGUUCUGGAUUCUUCCACGAACGGCUAAUAAGGCAAUGGUGUGUAGGGGUUGAAUUUCUUGCCAUUCACGUCAAAAACACUGACCGAGCUGAUAU
This 335-nucleotide long non-coding RNA is filed under the name Androctonus crassicauda. Lineage: Eukaryota; Metazoa; Arthropoda; Arachnida; Scorpiones; Buthidae. The record is from RNAcentral.